This is a long non-coding RNA of Hibiscus syriacus, 1767 nucleotides long. RefSeq lists it as uncharacterized. The transcript is spliced from 4 exons. The record is from RefSeq and is a predicted model, not a curated record. NCBI's taxonomy places the organism in Eukaryota, Viridiplantae, Streptophyta, Magnoliopsida, Malvales, Malvaceae.
UGAUCGCAAGGAAUGAGCAAAGGGAUUGUAAAGGAAGUAACGCCUUCGUCGUCCUGUGUCGCCCUGGCCGAAAAUCGUGCUUUUUCCAGUUUCAGAGGCGUCCGAUGGCAUAUCAAACUCGGAAUUUUACCUUCUUCUUUAAUUGAUGAUCUCAGAAGAGUAACAGCUGAUUCUCCCAGAAGGUAACCCUUUUGUUUUUUCCGUCACCUUCCUUUUUAUUUUAUAUGGAGAAAAAACCAGAAUUAGAGUCAGAAUAUGUAAUUUUGAGCUUCUUUUCAUGUUCAUAUUGUUUCAAAAAAACAUUAUUUUUUAAAAUUAAAUUACAAUAAUCAAUUAUGAGAGUUUUUAUUUCCAUUUUUACAUUUUUUAUAGAAUAAAAUCUAACUGUUGUAGUCUCAAAUCUCUGGUUUUAUGAGCAUUUAUAUAUGCUGGUUUGAGAAGGCAACUGCUGGUGGAUCCACACGUUCCAAAAGAUGGAGCAAGAAAUUCCCCCGAUCUUGUUAUGGAUAAUCCACUCUCACAAAACCCAGGUAAUUGUAAUUUCUCUGCUUUCUUUUGCUGCAUCGCUUUGAUUUUUAGUUCAGCAGUGUUUCUUGGAUUUGGGAUCUUUUCCUGAAGAUAAGAAAAUCCCCCUUGAUGUUCUUGUAAAUAUGUGGGUUGAAAUCCAUAAUAUUGACGAAGAAGAACCUUUUGCAAUUCUUAUGGAGCUUUCUGAUAAGAACCUACUCACUCUGGUCAAAGAUACUCGGGCUGGAGAUGCGUUCUGCAGUUACUAUGAAAUAUGUGUUACUCAGCAUGAUGUGUUGAGAGACCUUGCUAUUCAUCUAAGCAAUCAGGGAUCAAUAGUUUAAUCUACUAAACAUAUUAUAUUACAGGGGUAAAAGAUCAUGAGAGAAGAUCACUACGAAUAUGUUAAAUAAAAAAAUCAACUAAGACAAAAGAUUACAAAGUUUGAUAAUUACGAAUAUGUAAAAUUUAUCACUGAUCCUUGAUUACAAAUCAAACAAAGUUUGAUAAUGAUAGGUGUGUUUAAUGUCUGUAAAAAGUUGCAAUAGCAUCAUAUAGUUGUUGGACUGAAAAAGUUUCAGCAUUGAUCCCAUGUGUACACACUGUCCUAAUUUAGCUCCAAACGGGUACGACACUUGUGAUUACAUAUGUUCAAUAUAAUCGUUAGGUUCUCUCAUUUCAGCAGCUUCUAUGCUUCUCAAUAAUGCCUUAGACCGCAUCACUAAUGAAACAAUUGGUUUUCCUGGUUCAGUCGUGUUAGUAGUUGGGCCAGUGAUUAUAUACACUGUUACUAGUAGUGUUGCAGUGAUUGUACAGAUUUUGCUUUCAAAUUAGAGACAUCCAUUCCCCUUCAGGUCAUUUGGAGACAUUUUGUGAGUAAUAUGUGACGGUGCUGAUUAUGUAUUUGAUGAAAGUGUUAUUUUUACAGUUAUGAAUCACCAUAUUGGAGAAGCCUUGCAGCAACUCGUAUUCAGGUGUCAUGGAGAUGCAGGAAAAAAUGUCUUAAUCGUGCUGACACCUCUCAAUCCUUGGGAUAGAAACUAUUUCAGCUUUUGCAAAUAACUGAAGAAUUGUCAAGGUGGCCGUGGUUGUUUGGGUGCGGAAGGAGUCCUACGUGUGAGCUUGGGAUGUUUUGCAUUCUUUUUUGUAAUGUUCCUUUCAACUGCUCGCACCCACCCUCGAAAACCUGUUUAAAUACCAACUAGACAUCAAACAUCCAUGACAAACGGAAAGACAACAUGAAAAAUGAGAUUAACCUUG